AGGGUUUGAUCAUGGCUCAGGAUGAACGCUGGCGGCAUGCUUUACACAUGCAAGUUGAACGAAUUAAAGUUUUCGAAUUUUAGUUAAGUAGCGAACGGGUGAGUAAGACGUAAGAAUCUAUUUUUAGGUGAGGAAUAACUAAUGGAAACGUUAGCUAAUACCUUAUAAACUGAGAAGUGAAAAACUAAAAAUUGCCUAAAAGUGAGCUUGCGCCUGAUUAGCUUGUUGGUAAGAUAAUCGCUUACCAAAGCGACGAUCAGGUAGUUGAUUCUAAAGAGGAUAAUCAACCUACACUGGGAUCUCGAGAUAUCGGCCCAGACCUCUACCGAAGGUCAGGCAGUGAGGAAUAUUCCGCAAUGGGCGAAAGCCUGACGGAGCGAUGCCGCAUGAAGGAUGAAGGCCUAUGGGUCGUAGACUUCUUUUCUUAAUGAAGAAAUAAGACGGUAAUUAAGGAAUAAGCAUCGGCUAACUCCGUGCCAGCAGCCGCGGUAAUACGGAGGAUGCAAGCGUUAUCCGGAAUUAUUGGGCGUAAAGGGCUUGUAGGCUACUUUUUAAGUCUACUGUUAAAGAAUAAGACUUAACCUUAGAAAAGCAGUAUGAAACUAAAAGGAUAGAGUUCAGUAGGGGUAGAGGGAAUUCUCGGUGUAGUAGUGAAAUGCGUAGAUGUCGAGAGGAACACCAAUAGCGAAAGCACUCUACUAGGCUGUAACUGACGCUAAGAAACGAAAGCUAGGGGAGCCAAUGGGACUAGAUACCCCAGUAGUCCUAGCUGUAAACGAUGGAUACUAAGUAUUGGAUAAUAAAAAAUUCAGUGCUGUAGCUAACGCGUUAAGUAUCCCGCCUGGGGGAGUAUGCCCGCAAGGGUGAAACUCAAAGGAAUUGACGGGGGCCCCGCCACAAGCGGUGGGAGCAUGGUGGUUUAAUUCGAUGCAACGCGAAAAACCUUACCAGGAUUUGACAUCCCAUAUUUUUUUUCUAGAAAUAGAAAAAUUGACGUGGAGAACAAGGUGGGUGCAUGGCUGUCGUCAGCCCCUGUCGUGGAGAUGUUGGGUUAAGUCCCGUAACGAGCGCCAACACUUGUUCUUUAGUUCGAUAGUCUAAAGAAACCUGCCGAUAAUAAAUCCGAGGAAGGUGCCGAUGACGUUCAAGUCAGCAUGCCCCUUAGAUUCUGGGCGACACACGUGCUAGCAAUGGUUAAGACCAAUUGGGAAUGCAAACUUGUAAAAGGAAGCUAACCUCAAAAACUUAAUCGAAGUUCGGAUUGUCGACUGAAACUCGUCGACAUGAAGCUGGAAUCGCUAGUAAUCGCCGGUCAGCCACACGGCGGUGAAUACGUUCUCGGGCCUUGUACACACCGCCCGUCACGUUAGGGAAGCUGAUUACGCCCGAAGUCAUUAAUUUAACCCUUUGGAGAAAAAUGCCGAAGGCAGAGUGAGUAACUAGAACGAAGUCGUAACAAGGUAGCC
Molecule: ribosomal RNA, 1466 nt
Filed under: uncultured cyanobacterium
Lineage: Bacteria; Bacillati; Cyanobacteriota
Description: bacterial SSU rRNA
Rfam family: Bacterial small subunit ribosomal RNA
Source: RNAcentral